CCUACGGGUGGCAGCAGUGGGGAAUAUUGGACAAUGGGGGGAACCCUGAUCCAGCGACGCCGCGUGCGUGAAGAAGGAUUUCGGUAUGUAAAGCUCUAUCAGCAGGGAAGAAAGAAACGACGGUACCGGAGUAAGGAGCCCCGGCUAACUACGUGCCAGCAGCCGCGGUAAUACGUAAGGGGCAAGCGUUAUCCGGAUUUACUGGGUGUAAAGGGAGCGUAGACGGCGAUGCAAGCCUGAAGUGAAAGGCGGGGGCCCAACCUCCGGACUGCUUUGGAAACUGUAUGGCUGGAGUGCAGGAGAGGUAAGUGGAAGUCCUGGUGUAGCGGUGAAAUGCGUAGAUAUUAGGAGGAACACCAGUGGCGAAGGCGGCUUACGGGACUGUAACUGACGUUGAGGCUCGAAAGCGUGGGGAGCAAACAGGAUUAGAUACCCCGGUAGUC
This 443-nucleotide ribosomal RNA is filed under the name uncultured bacterium. Its description in RNAcentral is "partial 16S ribosomal RNA". It matches the Rfam family "Bacterial small subunit ribosomal RNA", at positions 338 to 795 of the family's 1533-position model. The record is from RNAcentral.